GUCCUUUUGAGUAUAUUUAAGGUCUGACCUGCCCGGUGAUUUAUUUUAACGGCCGCGGUAUAUUGACCGUGCAAAGGUAGCAUAAUCAUUAGUCUUUUAAAAGAGGGCUGGAAUGAAAGGUUUGACGAGGUAUUGACUGUCUCAUUUUAUUUGGAUUUAGAAUUUAACUUUUUAGUCAAAAGGCUUAAAUUUAAUUGGAAGACGAGAAGACCCUAUAGAGCUUUAUAUUAAUUAUUUUAAUUAUGAAUAUAUAAUUUUUAAUUAGAUGAAUUAUUAUUUUGUUGGGGUGACAGAAAAAUAGAACUAACUUUUUUAUUUAUUUAACAUUAAUUUAUGGUUAUUUGAUCCAUUAUUAUUGAUUAUUAGAUUAAGUUACCUUAGGGAUAACAGCGUAAUCCCCUCCCAGAGUUCAUAUUUACGAGUGGGGCUUGCGACCUCGAUGUUGGAUUAAGAUAAUAAUUAGGUGUAGCCGCUUAAUUUAUAGGUCUGUUCGACCUUUAAAUUCUU
This 507-nucleotide ribosomal RNA is filed under the name Somatochlora clavata. RNAcentral's name for it is "partial 16S rRNA". It matches the Rfam family "Bacterial large subunit ribosomal RNA", at positions 1829 to 2597 of the family's 2925-position model. Lineage: Eukaryota; Metazoa; Arthropoda; Insecta; Odonata; Corduliidae. The record is from RNAcentral.